AGAACGAACGCUGGCGGCAUGCCUAAUACAUGCAAGUCGAACGAACACUUCGGUGUUAGUGGCGCACGGGUGCGUAACGCGUGGGAAUCUGCCCUUGGGUUCGGAAUAACAGUUGGAAACGACUGCUAAUACCGGAUGAUAUCGAAAGAUCAAAGAUUUAUCGCCCAGGGAUGAGCCCGCGUAGGAUUAGCUAGUUGGUGAGGUAAAGGCUCACCAAGGCGACGAUCCUUAGCUGGUCUGAGAGGAUGAUCAGCCACACUGGGACUGAGACACGGCCCAGACUCCGUACGGGAGGCAGCAGGUAGGGAAUAGUUGGACAAGU
This 322-nucleotide ribosomal RNA is filed under the name uncultured soil bacterium. RNAcentral describes it as "bacterial SSU rRNA". It matches the Rfam family "Bacterial small subunit ribosomal RNA", at positions 26 to 373 of the family's 1533-position model. The record is from RNAcentral.